GACGAACGCUGGCGGCGUGCCUAAUACAUGCAAGUAGAACGCACAGUUUAUACCGUAGCUUGCUACACCAUAGACUGUGAGUUGCGAACGGGUGAGUAACGCGUAGGUAACCUGCCUGGUAGCGGGGGAUAACUAUUGGAAACGAUAGCUAAUACCGCGUAAUAUUAAUUAUUGCAUGAUAAUUAAUUGAAAGGUGCAAUUGCACCACUACCAGAUGGACCUGCGUUGUAUUAGCUAGUAGGUGAGGUAACGGCUCACCUAGGCGACGAUACAUAGCCGACCUGAGAGGGUGAUCGGCCACACUGGGACUGAGACACGGCCCAGACUCCUACGGGAGGCAGCAGUAGGGAAUCUUCGGCAAUGGACGAAAGUCUGACCGAGCAACGCCGCGUGAGUGAAGAAGGGUUUCGGAUCGUAAAGCUCGGUUGUAAGAGAAGAACGGGUGUGAGAGUGGAAAGUUCACACUGUGACGGUAGCUUACCAGAAAGGGACGGCUAACUACGUG
This 505-nucleotide ribosomal RNA is filed under the name uncultured bacterium. RNAcentral describes it as "partial 16S ribosomal RNA". It matches the Rfam family "Bacterial small subunit ribosomal RNA", at positions 28 to 507 of the family's 1533-position model. The record is from RNAcentral.